UUUAAAUGAAGACCAGAACAAAAGAUUAAACGUUUAAAUCAAUAUUUAUAAUUAAAUAAUCCAAUUUAUCUUAAAUGUAAAAAGACAUUUAUAAAUAAGAAAGACGACAAGACCCUAUUGAACUUAACUUAAGUUAAACUGGGGCAGUUAAUUAAUAAAAAUUUUAAUUCAAAAAACAAAAUAAAUAAUCCAAUACCAUUGAAAUGAUCAAGUUACCAUAGGGAUAACAGCGUAAUAAUUUUCUAAAGCCCUCAUAAAAAUAAUAGUUUGCGACCUCGAUGUUGAAUUAAUUACCUAAUUAGAGCAAAAGCUAAUCAAGGAAGUCUGUUCGACUUUUAAAAAAUUACAUGAUUUGAGUUCAGACCGGUAUAAGCCAGGUCGGUUUCUAUCUUCUUCCUAAUUCUUAUAGUACGAAAGGGACUAAGAAACUAAUAUUAUUAAUUAAUUGGCAGAAAAAUGCAUUAGAAUUAGAAUCUAAUAAAACUAAUCCAUAUCAUUUAUCUUAUCAUAUCUAUUUAUUACAAUUAGA
RNAcentral lists this ribosomal RNA (529 nucleotides) under Selenops simius. RNAcentral's name for it is "partial 16S ribosomal RNA". The stretch from base 98 to 394 matches the Rfam family "Bacterial large subunit ribosomal RNA", at positions 2074 to 2646 of the family's 2925-position model. The record is from RNAcentral. Lineage: Eukaryota; Metazoa; Arthropoda; Arachnida; Araneae; Selenopidae.